GGAGGCGGCCGGCCGCGCUCAAGGCUCUGCUGCGGUAGUGCCUGUGAAUGGUGGUAGCUCCCUGUCAGCCCCGUCAUCCUCCCCCUUCCCCCGAAGGCUCUGGAAAAGGACUGUUUUGGGUAACUGCACUGAUUUAAGACAGUGAUUGAUGCCUUGAGAGGGAACAGGGAAAAUGGAUGAAAAACUGCAGUGUGCAUCCCGAUCACCUGCCUGUGGAAGGCUCUCCCAUCCAGUCUGAGCAUGCCCAG
Jaculus jaculus (lesser Egyptian jerboa) is the source of this 248-nucleotide long non-coding RNA. RefSeq lists it as uncharacterized. The record is from RefSeq and is a predicted model, not a curated record. The transcript is spliced from 3 exons. NCBI's taxonomy places the organism in Eukaryota, Metazoa, Chordata, Mammalia, Rodentia, Dipodidae.